Molecule: transfer RNA, 72 nt
Filed under: Streptomyces phage StarPlatinum
Lineage: Duplodnaviria; Heunggongvirae; Uroviricota; Caudoviricetes; Stanwilliamsviridae
Also listed under: 7 other names
Description: tRNA-Met
Rfam family: tRNA
About the family: Transfer RNA (tRNA) molecules are approximately 80 nucleotides in length. Their secondary structure includes four short double-helical elements and three loops (D, anti-codon, and T loops).
Source: RNAcentral
AGCGGAUUAGUGAAACGGUAUCACGCGAGGCUCAUAAUCUCGUAUUCCUGUUCGAAUCAGGGUCCGCCCCCA